UACGAAGGGGGCUAGCGUUGCUCGGAAUCACUGGGCGUAAAGGGCGCGUAGGCGGCGUUUUAAGUCGGGGGUGAAAGCCUGUGGCUCAACCACAGAAUGGCCUCGAUACUGGGACGCUUGAGACCGGAAGAGGACAGCGGAACUGCGAGUGUAGAGGUGAAAUUCGUAGAUAUUCGCAAGAACACCAGUGGCGAAGGCGGCUGUCUGGUCCGGUUCUGACGCUGAGGCGCGAAAGCGUGGGGAGCAAACAGG
This 252-nucleotide ribosomal RNA is filed under the name uncultured bacterium. RNAcentral describes it as "partial 16S ribosomal RNA". It matches the Rfam family "Bacterial small subunit ribosomal RNA", at positions 524 to 776 of the family's 1533-position model. The record is from RNAcentral.